AGAAGUUGUCCAGGGCUCCCUGAGGGAGGCCAGCACAAGAGCUCUGCCAUAAAAGGACAUUGGACAGAAGUGAAGAGUCCAAUCAGAAACUCUUUUUGAGAGACUGAACGCAAAGCAUUCAGAGAGUCAGCAGGCUGGAGAGGCCAAGACACACACACGAAGAAGGCAGGACACUCUUCUCCUCCUGCGGUUGGACUCCAGGCUCUAUGACCUUCAAACUCCAGGACUUACACCAGUUGCCCCUGGGCACUCAGGACUUCUGCUUCAGACUGACAGUUGCAGGACAGUGCAGCAUUUUAUUUUAAAGAUACCCCACAACGUAGGUGGCCAGUCCUGCUGCAGAUUGAGAGCUGUACUAGCCUGGCAUGCAGACAGCAGCUUUAGAAUCAGAUCUGCCUUCUGGCGGCUUCCCACCUAGGAGCCAUGGGACCUUUGUGAAGUCACCAAUUGUGCUGUGGAUGCUUCAUUUGUGAAGGAGAACAGGACUGCCUUAUGAGGAAACUGAGGUACAGAUGGGAAACUUGCUCAAGUUCACACAGCAAUUAAGUGAUCAAGUCCAAGAGCAAAACCAGGCAGGCUGGCUCCAGAGCUCACGAUAGUCCACCACUGCUUUCCACCAUCACUACGGAAUCAAGUCCAUGAGGAUACUCACCUUAUGUCAGUUGCCUAAGUUGGAAAUUAUAGAAUCUUCAAAUUGGAAGGGACGUUAUCAUCCAAGAUUUCAACUUUCUACUCACUGCAAAAUCCCUUCUGGAACUUCCCAGAUUGAUGAAUUUUCAUCAGCUCUGCUUGAGUACUCCCAGUGACUUGGAAAAAAAACACUGUAAUAUGGAUAUGAAAUAUAAACUGUUCAUGGAUAAAUUAUUGCAUAAUAAAAACAUGCCUAAUGGCUACACUCCCCUAA
Molecule: long non-coding RNA, 904 nt
Filed under: Homo sapiens (human)
Lineage: Eukaryota; Metazoa; Chordata; Mammalia; Primates; Hominidae
Description: PREDICTED lncRNA (TCONS_00208727)
Source: RNAcentral